GCGUAGUCGCGGUUGCUAAGCAACCCCUCGGGCGGAGCGGCCUAGCAGCAGUCCUGCGGCGCUGCGUAGACCUGGAGCUGGGGCAGGGACAAGACAAGACCGGGCUCUGCUCAGCCCUCUCCCGCCCAAGGCAAGAAAGACCCUUCCUGCGACGCGAGCCAGAAGAGGUGCCUACGCUGGAUCACAAUUUGAGCAUAUAAGAUUAAAAUUUUAAGAUCAGUUAACAUGUAUGAUGAAGACAGUGUCAGCACCUUAGCCUACAGUAAGAGUCCAAAGUUCUCCAAAAGAACCACUUUUCAGGAAGAGUUACAAGAAGCACUUUCUGCUCGUGCAGCAAGACAACAAACAGCUGAAUAUUCUGAAGACUUUGAAAGUGAUGAUGAAGGUUCAGAGAAGUAUUCUGAAACUUUGGAAAACACCUCAAAGAAAUCUGUUGCUUUUGCAACACCAUUAUCCAAGAAGAGUCAUUACAGUGGGAGCAGUUUAAAAAGUGAAAGUGAAGAUGCCUUGUCUUUAUCAGAUGCUGAUGAGACACCUCACUAUGUGUCCGAGCUGGAGAGAGAGAUUUUAAGGGAAGAGAGGGAAGCUGUCCCUUUUUCACUAAUAGAAUAUUCUAGAUCAUAUGAAGAGAAUAUAGAAAAAACAUCCAUUCCAUUUGACAGACCUCUGCAAGAUUGCCAUUCUUUUGAAAAGGACACUUCUGAUGUCUUCACUCUGGGAGAGGAUGAGGAGAGAACUUGGGAAACAUCCGGAUUGGAAAAUGAACAUAUGAGUGAAGAGAUACAGGACUUAGUUUCUGAAGGAGGGUCAGGUUUUGAAUUAGAGGGUGAGCAACAGUAUGGAGAACACACAUUUGAGCUGCAGUUAGAGAGGGAUAAUAUGAUUAAACAAAAACAUGAAAUCAAGCCUGUGCCAAAGCCAAGGGAAUUCAAGAACAAAGCAGCAUCAGUAUCAGCUGAGAAUAUCAGCAUUCCUACAUUCCAUGAGUAUUCAAAGCCGUCUCCUCAACCCAGGAGUGUUUUGAGGAAAAGUAGUCAUGUAGAAGAUCAUGAAGGAAGCAAAACAGAAGAUAGAACAUCUCAUAACCACAGAUUCUUUUCUUUGUCUGCACCAUCUUCUGAGACAAGGUUAAAUGAUCAAGUGAUGAAAUCUGAAAGAAGAGCACUUGCUGAAAGUCCUAGUCCUGAGGUUAGAAAUGGAUAUAAAGCUAUCCAGUAUGAACAAAGGGGCCCCUGGAUUGCAAGCUCCUCAUCCCCAUUUCCUAUUCAUUUUUCUUCGAUGGAUGAGAGAACUGGUGAUUCCAACCUAAAAAUAUUUGGGGAAGAACUUUCAUCAAAAGAUGAUGAAGAAAAAGGAACUGGCAACAGCAGUGAUCUGAAAUUACUGGAGAGUGGCAGAAAAUCACCUUCUGUGUUAGAACUAAUGAUGACAACAGUCUAUGAGAAAACUAAGAAAUUGCAGAAGUCAGUUGAAGAUGAUUUUGAACAAAAGCUGGAGACAAUAGAACAUAGUGCCAUUAAGGACAGAUCAAAAGAGACCACAAAGGAUGAUAAAUCUGAACAGAAGGUAGACCUAAGUCCUUUAAAAGCUGCACUGGAAGUGUCAGAGGAUUCAGUGAAGGAGAGGAGUGAAUUUAAACAGCGAGUUUCACAAAAUGUAAAAUCUCAAGUAAGCAGGUCUUUGAGCUCUGCACAUUUGAAGAAAACUGGGAAACCCUGUAAUAUCCCAACAAGCACAUCUUCUCAGUACUUAGGAACUUUAAAGUUCUUGGACAACAAGCAUUUACGAAAAUAUAGUGCUGAACUUGAUAAAGCAGACAGCUUGAGAGCAGCAGUGUAUCAGGAGUGGUUGGAAAAGAAGAGAGUAUUCCUAGUAGAACUGCAAAGAAUUAAAAGAAACAAAGCUGAGAAUCUGCGGGAGAAAAAUGAAAAGAAGGAAGCUGCUAAGAAAGAAGAAGCACUUGCAUCCUUUGAAGCCUGGAAGGCUAUGAAGGAAAAAGAAGCUAAAAAAUUGGCUGAGAAAAAAAGGUUGGAAGAGGCAAAGAAACGGAAAGAAGCAGAACUAAAUGAGAAGAAAAAAGAAGAGGCACAAAAGGCAGCUUUUGAGAAAUGGAAGGAAAAGAAAGCAGAAUAUUCAAAACAACAAUUAAAAAAGGAGAGAAGAAUCGAGAGGUUGAAAAAGAAGAAAGAGGAGGAGAUUGUUGCAGAGAAGAAGAAAGACAGCAGGUCUGCUGUUGAAAAGUGGAAUGAGAAAAAAGAAGAAUACCUGAAGCAAAAGAAAAAGGAAAAAACACAAGAAAGAAAAAAAGAAGUAGAUCAAGAAGUUGAGAUGCAAGAAAGAGAUAAAAAAGCCAUAGAAGCAUAUGAAAAAUGGUUGGGAGAGCCGCUUCAGCCAAGCCAUGUCAGCGCAGCCCAGAACCAGCAAAGCAUAGCAGGAGCUCAAGGAAAGAAAGAGGUGAAGGAAAUGAUGCAGAGAACUCAGAAGAAGCUCCAGGUUAUCCUUGAAGAUGAAACUCCACCUCCAUGGAGCCCACCUGGUAAAGCUGUGCCCUCAAGAAGCUAUUGAGAUGCCAGUGCCAUGCGGGAGAUCCCACUGUUUGGCCGUCACCUUAUCAUCACUAUUCUGCAACAUCUGAUUUUAACAUGAAUUGAAAUUGGCUCUCAACUGGUCUCACAGUGCUUUUUUAAUUGCCUGAAAGUAACUUCGGCUCUCCAUUGACUUCAAAAGGGAAUCGUGAAAUGACUGUGAACCAUGACUCACAGAUAGAGGAGUAUCUCAUCUGCUGCGGCAUUCUCAGUUAACCUUUCUUUCAUCCAUUUUCUUUAGCAGAGAAAAUUGCUGAAAUUAAAACUAGUUUAAUUAGUUGUUUUGGAUGUAGUCAGUAAAAUGAGAGAAUGGUCUUUAAAGAACUGAUGGGAGAGAGUUGAGUCAACUGUACCUACUGAUUCCUGGUCUAUCUCCACUUCUGUAUAUAUAUCCUCUUGAAGCAGAGAAAAACUUGGAGAAUGGUUAUAUCUUUGUGUCUGAUCUAUCCAGUCAGUCUGACAAUCGCUUUAUCUGUGCUUUAUCAGCUGUACAGGUUCCCCUUUCAUUUCUGGAGCCAAAUUCAAGUUCUUUUUGAUUCGCUUUUAAAGCUUUAAAUAUGUUGGGGUCAAAUUAACUGAAAGACUAUAUUCUCCAGUGUGUUUCUUCUGAUCUUCAAUGAUCCUGCUCUGAAUAUUCAUGCCAUGUAAAAUUUGGUGAGGGCUUUUGGCGUUAGUUUAGAAAUGGCCUUCUCAGGUCAUCAUUUUAGGAUAGAAUACACAGUAGCAGAAGGAGCAAAAAUUGCUUGGAGCUGGGAAAGUAACUGACAGAAAAGCACUCUCAGAGGCUCAAGCGUUUGCGUGAACUUGUCUUCACCAGGUGAAGACCUUUUUGGUCACUGGGCCUUUUAAAACAUGUUUGAUUAUUUGGACUGCUGUUUCUUCAGCCCCUUACACACACCUGUAAAAAUACACAUUGAACUAGAUUAUAUGGCAAUGUGGGCUUAGAUAACCCAGUUCAAAGCAGAUAUUGUGGAUUAUUUGCCUUGAUAUUCUGGGUUAUAUGGCUCUGUGGAAGAGCCCUCAGUCUGUGUUUCUGUGUGCACGGUGACCACCACCCACCUCACAAGAAACAUUGGACAUACAACAUAAAUUUUGAGGUAACAAAGACCACAACUUGUUUCUUGGUUACAGCUGAUGACAAGAGUUGGCAGUAGCACAUGGAUCCAGCAUUGACCAGCCUGUGUGCUAUGUUGAUAUACUGAUACACCACAGGACAGAUAGAGGCCUCAACACCAUGUUGUAACAUGCCCACAAUGACAUAGUGGGGGGAGGGGGUGCUGCGCAAGUGCCCAUCAUGAACCAGUCUGGGCCUACCUGCACAGCCACUUCUUCUGAUACAUAGCAGAAAAGAACAAUCCAAAGCCUGGAACAGAAGGACACACAACAUGGAAAACAGAUCCAGUGCCCAUGCGACCCCCCCCCCCCCCCGGCCCCCAAAGUUGUGACAAGGCAAGAUGAACAAAUACCAACACCAACCAAAUGAGUGAGGGGUGCUUGUAACUCAACUUGGUAACUCCAGUGAGCUUUUAUGCAGGGGAGGCCGAGCAGAGGGAGAAGGUUCUCCCUCAGGUUCAUUCUCCUCCAGCCAAUUGGCUGACUAUUCCUUGCCUUCUGAAUCGGGCACACAGGAAAAAAGGCCUGUUGAGAAGGAGAGAGCCAGACAGGAGAGAAGUUAUCAGCGACUUCACUGCAACUUGCCGCCACCUGGUGAGUCAGGUAGGACAUUUUCAUAGAAUCAUAGAGUUGGAAGAAAUUACAGGGGCCAUCCCCUGCUAUGCAGGAACACACAAAGCAUUUUAAUUGAUAAUGUUCAGGUUUAGUCAGGAAAACAAGUGGGAAUGACUAAGAAAGGUAAUUCAACUGUCCUCCUUUUAACUAAUUUCCCUAUCUAUAUCACAUUUUGACAGGUUUCUGCUUGUUCUGUCUAGCGUGAAUUUCUUAGAGGGCCAAUAAAAGCUAUCCUAGUGUUUAUAUUGGCACAAAAGAAGAAAAUAAUAGAAAAGAGAAUGAACCCAUAAAAAUAAAUUGGCAGUUCAUUUCUGAAAAUAACUUUUUGGAAGGCUUCCUAUCUUUUAAGAGAGGCAAGAACUUCAGAAGCUUGCUUUGUUAUGCUAAACUGCAAUAUUUGUAAUCUCGGUAGAAACCCUGGCAGACAGGGGUAUGUUCUUGUCAUAAUACUGUGAAGAACUUAAUUUUCUUAGGACAUAGGGAACUAUUUUAGGGAUUGUGUGCAAAAGAUUAUUUUGAAUUUGUCUCAGUAGAAUCAAAAUAGAAAGCUUCUGAUAGCCCUUUCAUCAUGUCUUGUGAGCACUUACAAUAAUAUCAGGCUUUUAAAAUGUAUCCUGCUUUCUUUCUUUUGCUUGAUUUUUCUCAGCUUUUGAUAAAAUAGCUGUGUUUCAAAAGGACAGGAGUGUUUCGAGUUGUGACGUUUGUCACCUUUGAUUUUUGGGUUGUGGCUGUUGGCUAUGCAGCCUUUUUUUCUAACUAAAAUAAUUAUAGGCUGUUAUCAAGUUCAGAAGUCACUAGCCUGACUUGAUAUUUCAAUUCACAUUAAUGAUAAUCACAAUGACCAAAACUACCCUUCCCCUUAACUGCAAAUCCUACUUUAUAGCCCAACAACAUCAAUUCAAUAAUGACAUGUUCAGCCCUAGCCCUGUCAUGGAUUGUGUUGAGACAAGUAUCUGCAAUGGGAUUUUGACAAGAUCCCAUAGGGUUCUUUGCAGCUGUCCUUCACAGCGUGACCCACAACUGGAAGAGGGCUGAACAUAAUCAUCCCAGUCCUUUGCUCCUUGGAAGUGAAUGGGGUGGGAAGUAGGAAAUUGUGAGGCCUCAAAAAUAAGAUUUUGGAGUGCCGCUUUUGGCAUUGUAGCUACAUCUCUCGAUGCAGAAUAUCAGCCAUAGGCAUCUUUACAGAGCCAGUGCACAUUUGCUUUCUCUUACCUUUAAAGUACUUUCCAAAAAACUUUCUUAGCACAUUAAAAUUGGAAUCAUUUGCAUUCUUCCUGUUAAGCUGUCAAUCUAGGCCACAAAGCAUAAAAUAAGCCAUUAGUUAUGCAAGGUGUUUUUUAACUGAAAUUUAAAACAAAUCCUUUGGAUGAGAUUAAUUUGCCAUUUGCACAGCAACAUUUGGAGCAGGGGAAGAAAUCACAGGUAAAUUAUUCCACCGUUCUGCAUUUAUCCAAUGAUAAGUGCACAUGUAUCUUUUAAUUUUUCUUUGCAAAUGGAACUAAGCAGGUUAGCUUCUUGCACAAGUGUUCAUCUUUAUCCAAUCUUCAUGCUUUUUUUUACACCAGAAGUUUUUAUGAGUUUACAUUUCUUGUUUUGAUAUUUUUUAUAAUAAUAAUAAUAAUAAUAAUAAUAAUAAUAAUAAUAAUAAUAAUAAUAAUAAUAAUAAUAAAACUUUAUUUAUAUCCCGCCACCAUCUCCCCAACGGGGACUCGGGGCGGCUUACAUGGGGCCAUGCCCAAAACAAUACAAUGUAAACAGCAUAUAAAAAAACAGCACAGCACAAAACAAUAAGCAAUACAUAAGCAAUAAAUAAAUAAGCAAUUUAUUACGCACAAAAGUUCUAGAUGGGGCUGGCUUUCAUAGAAAAUACAGAAUAAUGAGGAAACACUACCAUAAAUCCUUCUACCUAGUGAUUUUUGGUUGGUGCAUCCUCAAUUUGUGCUAAGUUGCCAAGGCUUCAGCCUUAUAGAAUCUCUUCAGCAACUGGGCUGCUAAUUAAGAAGAAUGGUGAAGGAUACAGCUGCCAGCUUUAAUGUCAGUAUUGAUAAAGGUUGCUCAAAGAGUAAGGUAGGAUUAGGGUAUGCACUGAUUAAGUGGCAUAUAAAAGACAGAUCUCAAUAGAGAACAUGCCUGGUCAAAGAUAUCUUGCACUGUUUUGCUUCUGAUGAUACUCUUCCCCUAGUCAUUGGCAGUUGGUGCUCACUGCCAAAUGCCUGGGUGCUGUUUCUCCACAGACUAUGUACAAUCAGAAAGCUAGUACAGCAGUCAAGGCAGCUCUUCUUGCUAUUUCCUGCUUACCCAUGUAACUACAGUAGAGUUCUGGUUAUACGACUUCUGCUUAUCUGACAUUCCGUAUUAUCCGACGCACCACCAGGGGCUUGGCAGUGUGUCAUAUUCUCCCCGCCGCCGCCGCGCUCAUGGCUGCCUCCCCCUCCUGGCCUCCUCCUGGGGCAGCCCGAGGAAAGGAGCACUGCUGAGUCGGAUAACCAGAACUCUACUGUACUACCUUUCCACCAUAGAUACAUUCAUCCUGCUUGGAACCGGUCUUAAUAACACGUUCUUGCAUCAAAGAAGACUACAUUCUAAAUCCCUUGAACAUGUAAGAAAUAUAUCUAAAUCACAUACUCCAGUUAAAUUCAGAAGUAUCUACAUUGCACAAUUUAACAGUUUAAUUGUCAUGGCUGUUUCCUACGGAAUCCUUGGAUUUGUGGUUUAGUGAUUUACUAAAGCUCUCUGGCAGAGAAUUUUGAAUUGCUUGUUAAUAAAAUGCAGAUCCCAGGAAUCCAUAAGAUAAAGUGGUUUCAAAGAACUGUAAUGGUACGUGGAUAUGUCUUGGAUACCUGUCUUCAUCUGAUGAAGCUAUGUUUUCUUAAUCUUUUCCCUUACAAUCUUUCCCAAACUUGGUAAAGUAUCUUUUAUGGAUGGAGUGUUUUCUGUACAUAUAAGUGCACAAUACAGUUCUACAUUUUAAUUAAUAAUACAGCAUUUUCUGUGAGUUCUAUAUUUGACUCCGGAUAGCAUCCACCUCUGUGUACAUAAUGUCUGUAUCACUGUAUAGUAAUGUAAUGCUGAUCAGAGCCACCGUAUUGUAGUGGUUUGAGCUUUUGACUAGGACUCUGGCGAAAAGGGUUCAAAUGCCUGCUCAGCCAUGAAAACCCAUUGAGUGACCUUGGCCAAGCCACACUCUCGCUUCAUGGGAAUGCAGAGGCAAACACCCUCGAACAUAUUUUGCCAAAGAAACUCCAUGAGGUUGCCAGAAAUCAGAAACCACUUGAACGCCAACAAUAAUGGUGACCACCCACAGGGGUGAAGAAAAUAAUCUGAAUCUAGCAUAUUAAAAAUUCAGCAAUAUCAGUCUUCAAAAGCCAAGAAACAAUAGUUUUAAGAAACAUGAAGAGAGAUGGCACUGUGCCUAUAUUUUUCAAGUUGGCAAGAAAAAUUAUAGGGAAGUAAAAUUGGUGUUUUUUCAGAUUGGACUAUAUGUAUCUCUACUGUUCAGCAGAAAGUUUCUUGAAAGACUCUUCAAGAUUUCUUGAACAAAACAUAUUUAAGCCAAUGCUGUAGAUAUAUUUAUUGCUUACUGUAAUUUUAAGAGAAUUUAAAAAAUAAAUUCUAUUUUGUUAUACAAAA
Anolis carolinensis (green anole) is the source of this 7943-nucleotide RNA transcript. It is a transcript of the gene named microtubule associated protein 9, with no coding region annotated. Lineage: Eukaryota; Metazoa; Chordata; Lepidosauria; Squamata; Anolidae. The transcript is spliced from 16 exons. The record is from RefSeq and is a predicted model, not a curated record.